This 251-nucleotide long non-coding RNA is filed under the name Mytilus galloprovincialis (Mediterranean mussel). The record is from RNAcentral. Lineage: Eukaryota; Metazoa; Mollusca; Bivalvia; Mytilida; Mytilidae.
GUGGUAAUGCAUGUUGUAUAGUCAGUUGUCACAUGGCAUGUUCAGUACAGGAGUGGUAGAUAAAUGUUGUAUAAUCAGGUGACACAUGUCUUGAUCAGUGCAGAAAUGGUAAAUGAAUGUUGUAUAAUCAGAUGUCACAUGUCAUGUUCAGUACAGGAUUGGUAUAUAUAUGUUGUAUAAUCAGGUGUCACAUGUCAUGUUCAGUACAGAAGUGGUAAAUGAAUAUUGUAUGAUCAGAUGUCCCAUGUCAU